CUCGUGGCGUUUCAGUCAUUGGAUUGCACGUAUGGUGUUAGUGAUCUAUCGAAAUGUCUUUGACCGAUCUUGACUUGAUCAGUAUCAUUCAAUUCUUUCUCGCGUGAAAGUUAGAAAAAUCACUAGAUAUAUAUACAUUAUUCAAUGUAUCAAACUGUACACAAAAUUGUUAAACAAUAAAUAGUUAUAAUAAAUUAUAGUAUAUUUAUUGUGUGAAUGUAAGAAAUAAAAUGUGUUAGGAAAAUAUAUAAUGUCAUUAAGUUUUAUCGAAGAAUUUAAACUGUAACUUUAGUGGCAAACAGAAGGAUCGAAACUGUUGGUGGAAGCAGAAACAGGUCAUGCGAAUGACGUAAGUUAACGGAUCUCCGUAUGGAUAAAUAAUUUAUAGAAAAGAACAAAUGAAGUGAAUAAAAAAAAAGAAAAAAUUUUUGUUAUAUUUGAAAGAAAACUUGUUAUAGUAUGUUAUUGUACAUGUGUUAUCACGUAUGUUGUGUAGUAUUUUAAAAAAAAAUAUUAAAAAGAAAUUAUGUU
This is a long non-coding RNA of Apis florea (little honeybee), 531 nucleotides long. The record is from RefSeq and is a predicted model, not a curated record. NCBI's taxonomy places the organism in Eukaryota, Metazoa, Arthropoda, Insecta, Hymenoptera, Apidae.